AGGACGAACGCUGGCGGCGUGCCUAACACAUGCAAGUGGAGCGACGAACCAGGCUUCGGCCUGGGGCAAAGCCGCGAACGGGUGAGUAACACGUGGGUAACCUGCCUCGAUGAUUGGGACAACCCGAGGAAACUCGGGCUAAUACCGAAUGUGCCCUCCGGCCAUAAGGCUGCUGGGGAAAGGAAGCUUCGGCCUCCGCAUCUAGAUGGGCCCGCGGCCCAUUAGCUUGUUGGUGAGGUAACGGCUCACCAAGGCGACGAUGGGUAGCUGGUCUGAGAGGACGAUCAGCCACACUGGGACUGAGACACGGCCCAGACUCCUACGGGAGGCAGCAGUGGGGAAUUUUGCGCAAUGGGGGAAACCCUGACGCAGCAACGCCGCGUGGAGGAUGAAGCCCCUUGGGGUGUAAACUCCUUUCGAUCGGGAAGAUAAUGACGGUACCGAUAUAAGAAGCCCGGCUAACUUCGUGCCAGCAGCCGC
Molecule: ribosomal RNA, 480 nt
Filed under: uncultured bacterium
Lineage: Bacteria
Description: SSU rRNA
Rfam family: Bacterial small subunit ribosomal RNA
Source: RNAcentral